Molecule: ribosomal RNA, 164 nt
Filed under: Dinebra chinensis
Lineage: Eukaryota; Viridiplantae; Streptophyta; Magnoliopsida; Poales; Poaceae
Description: 5.8S ribosomal RNA
Rfam family: 5.8S ribosomal RNA
About the family: 5.8S ribosomal RNA (5.8S rRNA) is a component of the large subunit of the eukaryotic ribosome. It is transcribed by RNA polymerase I as part of the 45S precursor that also contains 18S and 28S rRNA. Functionally, it is thought that 5.8S rRNA may be involved in ribosome translocation.
Source: RNAcentral
CACAUGACUCUCGGCAACGGAUAUCUCGGCUCUCGCACCGAUGAAGAACGUAGCAAAAUGCGAUACCUGGUGUGAAUUGCAGAAUCCCGUGAACCAUCGAGUUUUUGAACGCAAGUUGCGCCUGAGGCCUUUUGGUGUCGGGCACGUCUGCCUGGGCGUCAUGU